RNAcentral lists this long non-coding RNA (325 nucleotides) under Marmota monax (woodchuck). The record is from RNAcentral. Lineage: Eukaryota; Metazoa; Chordata; Mammalia; Rodentia; Sciuridae.
CUUGGCUGUGGCUCUUAGCAGGGAAGGGCUCCCUGAUGUCUCUCGGUGCCACUGGAGGAAGUUCCCGCUGAGGGGGCAUCUGGCUGGUGGAGAGCACUGUCUGUCUGUCCUGCCAGUGGACUCUUGCCAGCGUGGGGCCCAGAGCCAGACAGCCUGGAUUCGAGUCUUCCUCCUUCACGUACAGCUUGACUUCGGCUCCUCAGAUUUCUCUGGCAAAAUCAAGUAAAUUUUCUGACCUUAGAGUGUUUCAAAGGUGAAAUGGAGUGUUGGGUUGUGGCCGACACCUGUAAGGUAACUCGGGAGGACAGCAAGUUGGAGGCCAGCC